This 498-nucleotide ribosomal RNA is filed under the name Microascales sp. SSR-2012a. RNAcentral describes it as "eukaryotic LSU rRNA". It matches the Rfam family "Eukaryotic large subunit ribosomal RNA", at positions 98 to 603 of the family's 3401-position model. The record is from RNAcentral. Lineage: Eukaryota; Fungi; Ascomycota; Sordariomycetes; Microascales.
GCGGCAACAGCUCAAAUUUGAAAUCUGGUCACCUUACGGAGGCCCGAGUUGUAAUUUGAAGAGGAUGCUUUUGGCGAGGUGCCUUCCGAGUGCCCUGGAACGGGACGCCACAGAGGGUGAGAGCCCCGUAUGGUUGGACACCGAGCCUAUGUAAAGCUCCUUCGACGAGUCGAGUAGUUUGGGAAUGCUGCUCAAAAUGGGAGGUAAACCCCUUCUAAAGCUAAAUAUUGGCCAGAGACCGAUAGCGCACAAGUAGAGUGAUCGAAAGAUGAAAAGCACUUUGAAAAGAGAGUUAAACAGCACGUGAAAUUGUUGAAAGGGAAGCGCUUGCGACCAGACUUGCGCCCGUCGGAUCAACCGUCGCUUGUCGGCGGCGCACUCCGGCGGGCUCAGGCCAGCAUCAGUUUUCCCGGGGGGAGAAAGGCGGUGGGAAUGUAGCUCCUAGGAGUGUUAUAGCCCGCCGCGUAAUACCCUCGGGGGGACUGAGGACCGCGCAUC